ACCAGGCAAUCUGAAAUAAUUGUAGAAGAGAAGGAAGCUGAGAUCCAAAGACUGAAAAAUCAAAUAGAGGAAUAUGAAAAAAAUAUAGAGGAAAAACGGACACUGGAAGCUGAUGUCCUCAGUAUUACAUGCCAGUUUCAUGAAACCACAAAGCAAUCUGACAUAAUUGUUGAAGAGAAGGAAACUGAGAUCCAAAGACUGAAACAUCAAAUUGA
This is a long non-coding RNA of Mytilus californianus (California mussel), 215 nucleotides long. RefSeq lists it as uncharacterized. Lineage: Eukaryota; Metazoa; Mollusca; Bivalvia; Mytilida; Mytilidae. The transcript is spliced from 3 exons. The record is from RefSeq and is a predicted model, not a curated record.